AUUGAACGCUGGCGGCAUGCUUUACACGUGCACGUCGAACGGCAGCGCGGGCUUCGGCCUGGCGGCGAGUGGCGAACGGGUGAGUAAUGCAUCGGAACGUGCCCAGUAGUGGGGGAUAGCCCGGCGAAAGCCGGAUUAAUACCGCAUACGACCUGAGGGUGAAAGCGGGGGACCGAAAGGCCUCGCGCUAUUGGAGCGGCCGAUGUCGGAUUAGCUAGUUGGUGGGGUAAAGGCUUACCAAGGCGACGAUCCGUAGCUGGUCUGAGAGGACGACCAGCCACACUGGGACUGAGACACGGCCCAGACUCCUACGGGAGGCAGCAGUGGGGAAUUUUGGACAAUGGGGGCAACCCUGAUCCAGCCAUGCCGCGUGCGGGAAGAAGGCCUUCGGGUUGUAAACCGCUUUUGUUCGGGAAGAAAUCCUCUGGGCUAAUACCCCGGGGGGAUGACGGUACCGGAAGAAUAAGCACCGGCUAACUACGUG
This 484-nucleotide ribosomal RNA is filed under the name uncultured bacterium. Its description in RNAcentral is "partial 16S ribosomal RNA". It matches the Rfam family "Bacterial small subunit ribosomal RNA", at positions 28 to 507 of the family's 1533-position model. The record is from RNAcentral.